GACGGUAUAGCUCAGUGGUGGAGUGCAUGCCUACUGUGCAUGAGGUCCUAGGUCCAAUCUUCAGUACCUCCA
Molecule: transfer RNA, 72 nt
Filed under: Camelus bactrianus (Bactrian camel)
Lineage: Eukaryota; Metazoa; Chordata; Mammalia; Artiodactyla; Camelidae
Also listed under: 2 other names
Rfam family: tRNA
About the family: Transfer RNA (tRNA) molecules are approximately 80 nucleotides in length. Their secondary structure includes four short double-helical elements and three loops (D, anti-codon, and T loops).
Source: Rfam by way of RNAcentral